UCCUUCAACCUUCGGUAAUGGGUAUCCUCUCUGGCUUGGAAGAGAUGUUACUAUCUAGAUGAUUACAAAGUGUGAUGAUACUGGAGGCGUUGAUGAAUGCUAAUAUAGAGUUCAUGGCAAUGAAGCUUGUGAAACUAAAUUUAGUGAUGUUUCAUGUCCAGUUAUUUAAGUCCUCAUACUUUUAUAAUUUUAGAUGUGUUCGGUAAUACUUAAAAAAAGGCAUAUUUUUUGACUUUUAAAAUAAAAAUAGUACCUUCCAAUAAAAAGAAGUAUUUGGUAACACCAUCCUAAAUGCGCUUUCACUCCCAAAAAAAAAAAAGAAAAGAUGUUUUACAGAAGCUAGAAAAUCUAUUUUCUAACAGAAGAAUCUUAUGGAAGCAACUUUAGAUUCGAUCAAACAUGUAUAAAGAUUUUUUCAGGACAUUUACAAAAUUUAAGUCAGCGAUCCUUGACGAUUUUGUAUAAAUUUGAGAUUUAUAACUAAUUUGGUGCGCAACAAGUGGACCAUUUCUUUUUUCGUUUUUCCCCCGCAUUGGCCAAGUGGCAAGUCACGUCGGCUCUAUACGGAGAUCGUGACUCAGGACUCGGAAGCAAUAGCUUGUCUUUUUGACGAAAGCAAUAUAAAAUUCUAUCAGGAAACAGCACCUAAUUUACUCGGCAGAGCUGAGCGAGAUGUCAGAUGGAAGGCAGACAACGAACGUUUUCACCCGUUGGUAUCCAUGACGGCCUGCAGCUCUGUUUCUUUCCCUUGGUUCUUUCCAGGCUUAUUCUAUCAUCAUCCAUCCUGAAAACAAGAUCUUUCCUCGUACUUAAAUCCAACUUGGGUCCUAACAUUUAAAUUCGUUCCUUUUCUUAGCAACAAUGGGUGUUAAAUCUCUCUUGCCAUGGUGGAGUCGAUUAAAAAACAAAAGGUAUUAUGACAUGUAUUGCAAAUAAAAGUUCUCAAAGAUGGAUUUUGCUCCGCUGGAUAACAAUCUCUCUUCGAGGCUGAAAGAACCAACCCACCUCGGUUGCAGAAACCUCAAACACCUUGAAACCCUAACUAUGGUACGAGAGUUGCACCUAUGCAACUAUCAACUAUGCCCCAUCCCCCGUGUCCAUAUGAUUGGCCUCUUCUUAUGGUUUUGGUUCUUGAAAUGGUUGGUGAAGUUUCUAAUUGGAACAUGGCAUCCUAAGCAAUUUACUAGAAAAUAUGUCAGUCCUUUUUUUUUCAUAUAGGUUGGCCCUGAGAAUGCUACGAGGUCCACUCCAAAUUUGCUAAGCAAUCAUUGAAUGGAAUACUAGGUCAAUCCAAGUUCAUUGAUAUGGUGUAUCUUUUUUGUUGGUAGAGAAGAAGGAAGGCCUCCAAACGAGAAAGAAAAUAACGAAAAAAAGAAAGAUAAAUUAUAGAUGAACAAGGAGCCGAUCAAGUUUGCAUACGCCAGGUGGGAGAAAAAUGAUGGGAAAUUGUCGAACCAUGCAAGCCUGCUGAAGUUGCACUCAUGAACCUAAAUUACCCAGUUUUUUCGAUUUUAUUGACUCUGCCAGUAUGAUUAAUGGCUAUUACAAAGUUACGUGUGGUUGCAAUUGCUUGCAGAUAGUUUGGCACAAGUGUUAAAUGAUUUUCUGGUAGCUAUCCUCAGGUAGAAUUCCAUUUGGGUUUGAUUUCAGAUUUACCCACAAUUUUACCAUUACAAUUGUUACCAUUAGAAAGAUAAUAUGCUGAAUUCCUUUUGGAUUUUCAAUUUUCAUCUCUUAUUUUACGAGAUCGUAUCAUCUCAAUAAUAUAAAUGCAAAUUUUUUAAGUGUUCUGCGAAGGUAAUAAUUGCAGGUAACAACUUUUUUUUUUUUUACACCGGCUUAGGGUUUCAAUGGAAUUGAUGGGCGAAUGCUGCUGACUGUAUUAACAUUGGCAGAAAAGCUACCUAUCUUUUACAAAGGUGUUGCUUAAGAGUUCUGAAAUGCUCUGCAUUGCAGGUUCAGUGGCACAAUUGUCAUGUAAUUUACAUGUAAUCUGUUGCUUUCUACAGUUGUACACGGUCACCAACACCAAACUUUGUUCGCCACUUUGAGGAGACAAAUAUUCCUCAUUUCAGUCUCUACUGUAAUGGAGUACAUUAGAACUUUGCUGUUUAAGUGAUCUGAAAGAAGAUAUUUCUGCAACUUCUUGCAACCAAAUGAGCACCAAAUGUGACCCGCCAACUUGAGAUGGAUCCUCCUCCUCCAAUUCUAUAACGGGCUGAUUUCAAGCAUCAGCUGAUAGUGUGUGUGUGUGUGUGUGUGUGUCAUUUACUGAAGGUCUUCAUCACAUCCUUCUCCCUAGUCAUCAAGUCUUUGCAUAAGAUCCUAAUAUUCCUAAGUUUCUUGAUAUAAGGUUUCUCAAGUAUUCCAAGUGUGAUGACAUUGAAGGAAUUAUCCGGAGGUAGGAUGCAUAAUUUGAGGGUUAAGGUCUCGUGGAGACAUUUUUGGUGAGAUUUCCUGUCCACUAACUGCAAGACCUUGUGGCCAAAGUAGGCUUAGGUGGUUUGGUAACCAAUGUAGUAGUUUCAGAUUCUGAGUGCAAGCGUUCGAAAGGAAGCUUUGUCCCGAUCACAUUAUCACCAGUACUGCUGCACUUUGGUCUGUUAUCAAGGGUUACUUGUUUGUUUCUAUGUAAAUAUUCAUAUAGAGAAAUUGGUAACUCAACCUAAUCCAGAAUAGCAAAACAGAAAGAAGAACUUACAAGUAAAUAUAUUUUUCUAAAAUCUUCAUAACAUGCUUAAGUUUCUCAUAAUGCAAUUUCCAUAACAUGCAUGUUACCAUUUGCCAAUCAUAACUCAGAUAGGGUUAAUAACUUACAUGAAGGUGAACCUUUUCUUUUGACUGAGAUCCAACAGAACUUCAGACUACAGUGGGUACACACACUUCUUCCUGCGAAGACUGACCUUCGCAGUCUUACUGACCUUCUCCAUUGGCACUGCUGCUGGAUCCCCUCCUACUGACAGUGGUGUUCUUCAAUAUCUGCAAGAAAACAAACCAUAUUUAGAGCUUGUUCAGGAAAGAAAGCUGACACCCAGGCAAAAUCAACCUACAACUACGUUGUCAGCCAUAAGACAGAAAGCAUCAAGAAGUGUGACAAUAUAUACAUAUAAAUUAGAGAGAGAGAGAGAGAGAGAGCAGUCGGAUUCAAUCAAGUUAGAGCACAUGAUGCUACUGGUAACAAAUAAAUUACUCCAGAACGGAUGCUUUGGGCAGAAUGUGCAUGCCAAACACAGCUAACAAAGACCAUAAUGCAACAAAAGCAGUGCAAGUUUCCAUCAAAGAAACAGACACUACUGUGCAAGUCACAUGAUAUGAUACAGAACUAGAUGACAAGGAAGCAUCCCACCAAAGUUUGAGGCAUUUCUUUAAUGAAAGAUCUAAUUUCCUUGACUAGAAGAAAGAAAACAGCUCGAUUACUUAGAGAUCCAACUCUCCACCACCCACCCAGAGUAGUACCCCUUCAAAGCCUCAGCAAGACGAGGAUGGCAGCGAUCGCUGCAGAGUUUUUCUGAGAAGCAAAUGACUCCAGUAAUAUGCGAUGCCACCAUGUUGGAAAACGGAUAAAGAAGAAAAUGAUGUCACGGCUUACUGUGGUCGACAAAGGGACACGUCUGGGGGCAGGACUAAGACCAGAACCUAGAACGGCAGCUGCAGUUAAUUACCCAAAAUACCCCUCAUUAGAUGGUACUCUCGUAUCAGCCUAUCCUGAGACUCUGAUAUUUCUUUUUAAAGUGGAUAAUUUAUACAGAUGUAAUAGGAUAUAUUCGAUAGAGUUAGAAAAUGAUCUCUCUCUCUCUCUNN
RNAcentral lists this long non-coding RNA (3801 nucleotides) under Phoenix dactylifera (date palm). Its description in RNAcentral is "long non-coding RNA (PDAC_LNC002129)". The record is from RNAcentral. Lineage: Eukaryota; Viridiplantae; Streptophyta; Magnoliopsida; Arecales; Arecaceae.